RNAcentral lists this ribosomal RNA (280 nucleotides) under Vibrio vulnificus. RNAcentral describes it as "partial 23S ribosomal RNA". It matches the Rfam family "Bacterial large subunit ribosomal RNA", at positions 1 to 274 of the family's 2925-position model. The record is from RNAcentral. Lineage: Bacteria; Pseudomonadati; Pseudomonadota; Gammaproteobacteria; Vibrionales; Vibrionaceae.
GUGGUUCAAGUUUUUAAGGGCACACGGUGAAUGCCUUGGCAUUAGGAGCCGAAGAAGGACGUAGGAAUCUGCGAUAAGCCUCGGGGAGUUGAUAACCGAACACUGAUCCGAGGAUGUCCGAAUGGGGAAACCCCGCUGCCUGUUAUGGGUAGUGACCCACAUCUGAACACAUAGGGUGUGUGGAGGGAACGUGGGGAAGUGAAACAUCUCAGUACCCACAGGAAGAGAAAACAAUAGUGAUUCCGUAAGUAGUGGCGAGCGAACGCGGAACAGGCUAAAC